ACCCAUAACCAGUGAAUAUAUUGGGUUACAUGACAAAGGAGAAAUAAAGUUGCUAAUAGAAUUAAGGUUGCUAUCAACUGACCUUAAAAUCAAGAGAUUAUCCUGGAUUAUCUGGCUGGGCCACGUGUAACUGUCAGAGUCCUUAGAAGUGGGAGAGGAAAGCAGAAGAGUUGCUAGGUCUCUACUGAGGCAAUAAGGUCCUCAUCACCACGGGGUAUGCCUGACCACCCUUUUCUAAAGUUCUUAGUCUCCCUCCACUGUCAUUCUCUUGCACUCGUUCUUCACCACCCUUUUCUCAUUUUGUCAUUAUAUAUUUCUUUGCUUGGUUGUUUACUCUGUUGUCCAUUUCUUCUUUCCCCUGCAUCACUCUAGCUCCUGUAACCAGACUCUUAGCUACGUUAAAGCAGGCACUUGUGAAAUCUCCAGUCAAAUAAACAAAUGAAACAUGUGUGAAGCCUGUACUCAAAAAACCUUUUUUUUUUUUUUUUUUGACAGGGUUCCCCUCUGUUGUCCAGGCUGGAGUGCAGUGGUGCGAUCUCAACUCACUGCAGCCUCAAUCUCCUGGGCUCAAGUGAUCCUCCCACCUCAGCCUCUCAAUUAGCAUUUCCAUGUGGCUUGGAUCUUCAUGGCGGCCUCCGAAUUUCCAUCUUGGCCCUUGUACCUUUGACCUGGAAGAUUUAUCAGCAUUUGGACAUGAGCUGGGUCCUCUAACACUGAGAGGAGGUCAUAUCUGGGUACCCGAAGAGAAUGCAAGCUACUUGGUAGAUGAAAAUAAAUUCCUUCUUCUUGGAUGGGCAAGAGAAAAUUGGAGAAGUAAUGCCUCCUUCAGCAGCCACCAGUGCUGGCAGGAGAGGCUGCCACUCCUGGUAGAAGACAAGUGGCACAUGUUCCAACAGAAAUGGCCUCUAUGGCUACAUUUCUCCCUCCCUUCAGGAACGGUCUCUGAUACUGGGAAUUAGAACUCAGAGAAGAAUGACAGUUCUUCAUCAGUGAGAAAUAGACAUGCAAAAUAAUCACAGAUGGACAUGUAUGGAGCUGGCUGGUCCUGCCGUCACGUGUGAUUCAGUCAACAGGACUCUGAGACUUCUAUAAGAAGCAAAGCUAUGGAUGGGAGAUUUGCCAGAGAAUCUUGUCUUCUUGGCAACAUUCUGAAACUUCUUAUCUUCACAGCAAGACAUGUGGAAUUAGGACCAUCUAUGAAAAUGGGACAACCUUGGUAGAAGUUGAGAGAGGAGAGGACUCACAUCUCUCUCAGACAGUGCCUUUCCAUGGGGUGGGUCUAGAGAUUUUAUGUACAUCAGCAAAUGCAUUUUAGACCUUCUGAAAGAACAGCCUUGGAUGGCAGUGGGAGCAAGCAAAAUUUAUCAGUGGCUGUUUUAGAACAAAGGGAUUACACCUUUCUACCUUCUUGGACGAUAAUCCAGCAAAGACCUGCUCUCAAAGGAAACAUACCCCUGGACAUCAAACAGAACACUCAGGCACUGGGAAGCUAUGGGUUUGGAGUCAGCUAAAGCAUAACUGUAGUACAUCUGUCACAGAGAAUGCCACACUUGGGAGCACUUUAGACUUGGAGCAAGAAAAGACAUGCCUCUCAAGAGAAAGGCUUCCCAAAUUAAAGCAGUGCAUCAGCAUUGUGAGAUCCAUUGAGCAGGUAAAGACAAAGCUGCUUCACAGCCUGCUAGGAAUAAGAGCCCUGAUUAAAGGUCAUGCCAUGCUUCAGGUUCUGGCUCCUUCUGCUAUUCUUUAUCUCUGUGAACUUGUCUACUAUUAUUUGUUGGCUUUCUUUCUUUCCUUCUUUUUCUUUUCCUCUGCCUUCUUUCCUCCCUCCUUCCUUCCUCCCUCCUUCCCUUCUUUCCUUCUUUUCCCUUCCCUCUCUUCUUUUUCUUUAUUUUUCCCUUCCUCCCUCUCUCUUUCCCUCCUUUUCUAAGAUGUGCUGUACUCCCAAUAUGAUAUUACUGACUUAACGGCAAUUUUUUUUCCUUCUAGCCAAGAAGGAUUUCUGUCAAAACACUGUAUUCUCACCUGGUCCUUCUUGGGUCACAAUCAUACCUUUGCGAGAUGCCUGUAUUCACUAAUUGGCCCAAACAAAGCCCAAACCUGUGGCCUAAUUAUUAGCAUCUUGCUCUAACUAACCAGCUGGGGAACAAAACACGUUUGCAAAGUGUAAUCGCUAAUUAGAUAACUUUGAGAGUUUUUGGAGCAGUUAUUUAGGCAAAAUUCUAAAUCCAAAACAAAAAACAGGAAAGCAGGAUGGUGAUUACAUAUGUUAUUAAGUCACAGACAUUAAGCAAAAAAGAUAGACCCAGUGUUGCAUUCUAAAAUUUAGAAAUACCAGCUGGGUGUGGUGGUGUGCACCUGUAGUCCUAGCUACUCAGUAGGCCAAGGUGAGAGGAUUGCUUGAGCCCAGAAGUUCGAGGCUGCAGUGAGAUAUAAUCACACCACUGCACUCCAGCCUGGGUGACAGAGUGAGACACUAUCUCUCAAAUAAAUAAAUAAAUAAAAUUUAGAAAUAACUACCACAAAGAAAAUCAUAUUUCUAAGGCAAAUGUCUUUAUGAAAAAUGUUCUUUUCAUUUAUGUGGACAGUAUGUGGGUUUGGCAUUAAACUGGAUCCAUAAUCAGAUACAAGCAGGAUCUCAUAGUGGCAAAUGGCCAAGUAUUGGGGAUAAUACCACAUGGGUAUCAUCUUUAGAGAAUGUUCAUCAUUCCAUUGCCUAGAAGGAUAGACUAAAUUCCUUCUGAAACUAAAAGCCAAUGUUCAGUUUCUCAAAUACCCAAACAUAUCCGUUAGUAACUAGCCCAGGCAAUUGCACUGUGUGAAAAAGAGUAAGUUCUUUCUGCACCUUAUGGCUCUAAAUGAGAGUUUGCAUUUAGAAUAUGAAUGGAAUGUCCCUCAGAGAUGGAGUUCUUAUUCUUUCUCAAAGACCAGGGAUGCUAUUUGUCUGACCCUGCUUUUAAAUUGUGUUAAGGGUCCACAAUAUGCUGAGCUUUCUCUAGAAUAAACAUCAGGACCUCAGCUGGCUAGAACUGUUCAAAAGAUGUACAUGAUAUUCAGAGAGACUAGCUGACCUAAUCAGCAGUCCGUAAUUCAGCAUAGUCACAGGUCUGAAUUUUAGAGGACAAGGGAACUUGAAGGUCACUGGCCUUGCCUUUUGCUCAAUAGGCUAUUAUGGGCCCAGAGAAAUUAGCCUUGGCCUUAAGUCCAACUAACCUGGGUUCAAAUCCAAGCUUUGCCAAUAUGUGCUACAUACCCUUGGGCAGGUUACUACACCCUAACUUUCCUAAAUUUCCCUAAAUUUCCUUAUCUGUAAAAAUGAAAGGUCCCUGCAGAGCUGCUAUGAUGAUUACAGUAUGUGUCAAGAACCUUUAAUAGUGCCUUACCCCUAGUCAAUGUGGUUUUUACUAUAGAGAAGGAAACUGAGGCUCAGAGCAGUUAAAUGACUUGCCCAAGAUCACAAAGCUAGUUGGAAGAUCUUCUUAAUUUCUAAGACAGUAUUUUGUUACAAUAAGACAAAAUUCUGUUUCUAAACAACCCAAAUCCAUAUAUAACCAAAGGAAGGAGAAUAAGUACUAUAAGAAGUGUGUCUUUGCUACUCUUCCAUUUCCUUUCAUCAGCCCCUCUUCCUUGCCAUCGGGUGCUUUCUCUUCCACACCCUACCCCAUGCUGACCCCUACCCCCGUACCACCAGUGCCCACAGCCUAAACUGCCUAGAACUCCCCAUAUGGCUCCUUACUAAGCUGUGCUCUUCUUAGUCUUCUUUCUACCACCUUGUACAUCAGAGCCAAUCUGGCUUUGAUUUGCUGUUUUUUUCUUUUUCUUUUUAAAAAACGGAAUGAUAAUUAUUAUUUUUAGAGACAGGGUCUCCCUCUGUCAUCCAGGCUGGAGUGCAGUUGUGUGAUCAUAGCUUGCUGCAGCCUCAAACUCCUGGGCACAAGUGAUCCUCCCACCUCAGCUUCCCAAGUAGGUGGAACUACUGGCACAAGUCAUCAUGCCCAUUUAAUUUUUGUAAUUUUUUUGUAGAGAUAAGGGUCUCGCUAUCUUGCCCAAGCUGGUCUUGAACUCCUGGCCUCAAGCGAUCCACUCACCCCAGCCUCCCAAAGUGUUGGGGUUACAGGCAUGACCCACUGCACUCAGUUCAUUUUUUCUUAUUUGACAGGCUGGAAAGCAAUUUGUUAAACUAAUUCCUAUCACUGUGCUAAUGAACAUAACAUAGUGUGGUGUAUCGGAAGCAACAAGACCCAGAAUCUAGUCUGUUACCACCUUCCUCUGUGGCCUUGGGAAGCCACUUCUGUGGGUUUCAGUUUCCAUUAAGAGAUCACUCAGGGCACUUCUAAUUUUGAUACCCUACGCCUCUCUGACUUAAUGUGUCACCCCUCUAGGGGUAUUGGCUUUUUAAUAAACUUCUGGAGCCAGUAAAGCCAUCAAAUCAAAGGCAACUAUCUCCAAUGGCAUCACUUUAUGCACCAUGAAAAACACCUGGGGUAUUUUUGUUCCUAUUCUAUUUUUUAGAUGGAAAACUCUUUCUAGUAACUCUGAAAUCAAAAUAGAUUAACGGCUGCCCACACCACCUAAUGGUAAAGGUGGUCAUGGAGAGAGAACCCCAAAGAGUAGUGUUCCAGUAUUCUGGGGCCUGCAAAUCAAUGGCUCUCAGUUCAUAAUAUCUAGAAACUGUCUAAGUAAUCCUUAAGUCCCAAUUAAAAGUGAAAAUCAGAGUCCUUAACCUUUACAAAGAGAAUAAAAGGCAAAAACAGAACUCAUCGAGCAGAGACAUAUAAAAGAAGAGACUUGAGUGUAAAGGCCACUCAGAUCAGCAGCAAUUUUCUAGGAAUAAUUUCUGCAAUUGCUUUGAAAGGUAUCUUUAUUCAAAUGAGUCUUCCUGAACUCUGAAACAUUUCCUGAGGAGAAAAAUUCCCGUCCUUUGAUGCAUUCUCAUGGAACAAAAACACACGAUGGAUCAAAAUCUGGUUGAAGAUCAAACAGAACAGAAUCAAGAAGAUUUUGUAAAUAGAUGGUCUAUUUUCAGUCAAAUGUGAAAUUUCCUUCUAGAGACACAUUUCAUUUUACUGCUGCAUUGAUUUCAUCUUUUCUGUUACACCUCUAAUAUUCUCUGAGAAAACGUGACAUAGUUAAGGACCACUGGGGACAAUUAUGAUGGAUGGGUUGAACCUGCUGGGGAUGUGGACAGGAAGCCUGACAGGAUGGGAAUCAAAAGCAGCCUGGAUUCCCAGAUCUCUGAGCAAAGACACAUCAUAAUUUUCUCUACAUGUAUGGGAAAAAGAGCAAGCCUCAAAAAGGACUGCUAUUAUCACCAAAGUAAAGCUUGACAUUCCAAUUUUCCUGAGAAAAAUGUGGGUCUAGUAUGUUCCUUGAUCACAGAUCACUAAAGAAUACUUGCAGAAUUCCUACAGAGCUCCACCUUGUCAUAUUCUCUAUACCUAUAUAUGUAUUAUUUUUUUGUUUUUGAGACAGAGUCUUCCUCUGUUGCCCAGGCUAGUGUGCAGUGGUGCAAUCUCAGCUCACUGCAACCUCCACCUCCCAGGUUCAAGUGAUUCUCCUGCCUCAGCUUCCAGAGCAGCCAGGAUUACAGGCAUGUGCCACCACACCCGGCUAAUUUUUGUAUUUUCAGUAGAGAUGGGGUUUCACCAUGUUGUCCAGGCUGGUCUUGAACUCCUGACCUCAAGUGAUCUGCAUGCCAUGACCUCCCAAAGUGCUGGGAUUACAGGCAUAAGCCAUCGUGCAUGGCUUCUAUACCUACAUAUGUAUUCUGGUUUAUUUUUCUUCAUAGCACUUAUCUCACUCUUUGAUAUUAUAUUAAAUAUCUGAUUAUUACCUCUCUCACUAGAAUAUAAACCCCAAGAGGGCAAGGACUAGGUUUGCUUUGUUCAUUGCUGUGUCCCCAGUGCCUAUCUAGUACACUGCCUGGCACAUGGUAAAGGUCAAAAAGGAUUAGCUGAAUGAAUGAAUGUAUGAAUGAAUGAAUGAAAGUGUGAAUACUAAAAGUUAAGCUUAUAGCCAGUUGGACUGGGUUCACAGCACAAAGCUGUUCUAUGAUCAUACAAGUUAUUUGCAAACUUGUAUCUUGAGUUUUGGAGCACUAAUGCAAAGUUUGGCUACUGAGAUACAAAAAUGUCCAUACCCUUUGAUCAAUAAGUUCCACAGGCUAGUUGUGGUGGCUCAUGCCUGUAAUCCCAGCACUUUGGGAGGUCAAGGCAGGCGGAUCGCUUGAGCCCAGGAGUUCCAGACCAGCCUGGGCGACAUGGGAAAACCCCAUCUCGACAAAGAAAUGCCAAAAAAAAAAAAUUAGCUGGGCGUAGUGGCAUACGCCUGUAGUCCCAGCUACUCAGGAGGGUGAGGUGGGAGGAUUGAUUGAACCCCGGCAGGUCAAGGCUGCAGUGAGCCACAAUCGUGCCACUGCACUCCAGACUAGGUGACAGAGAGAGACCUCAUCUCAAAACAAAAACAACAAUGAUUAUUUAUUAAUAAUGUAACAUUUAUAAUUUAAU
This is a long non-coding RNA of Symphalangus syndactylus (siamang), 6503 nucleotides long. RefSeq lists it as uncharacterized. The record is from RefSeq and is a predicted model, not a curated record. NCBI's taxonomy places the organism in Eukaryota, Metazoa, Chordata, Mammalia, Primates, Hylobatidae.